UACGUAGGCAGCGAGCGUUGUUCGGAGUUACUGGGCGUAAAGGUGUGUAGGCGGUUUUCUAAGUUUGGUGUGAAAUCUCCCGGCUCAACCGGGAGGGUGCGCCGAAAACUGGGAGACUAGAGUGCGGGAUGGGAGAGUAGAAUUCCUGGUGUAGCGGUGAAAUGCGUAGAUAUCAGGAGGAAUACCGGUGGUGUAGACGGCUCUCUGGACCGCCACUGACGCUGAGACACGAAAGCGUGGGUAGCAAACAGG
Molecule: ribosomal RNA, 252 nt
Filed under: uncultured bacterium
Lineage: Bacteria
Description: partial 16S ribosomal RNA
Rfam family: Bacterial small subunit ribosomal RNA
Source: RNAcentral